This 72-nucleotide transfer RNA is filed under the name Neglectella solitaria. Its description in RNAcentral is "tRNA-Thr". It matches the Rfam family "tRNA". From Rfam's summary of the family: Transfer RNA (tRNA) molecules are approximately 80 nucleotides in length. The record is from RNAcentral. Lineage: Eukaryota; Viridiplantae; Chlorophyta; Trebouxiophyceae; Chlorellales; Oocystaceae.
GUCUUCUUAACUCAGUGGUAGAGUAUUUGCUUGGUAAGUAAAAAGUCAUCGGUUCAAAUCCGAUAGAAGGCU